RNAcentral lists this ribosomal RNA (402 nucleotides) under bacterium. Its description in RNAcentral is "partial 16S ribosomal RNA". It matches the Rfam family "Bacterial small subunit ribosomal RNA", at positions 355 to 776 of the family's 1533-position model. The record is from RNAcentral.
UGGGGAAUUUUGCACAAUGGGGGAAACCCUGAUGCAGCGACGCCGCGUGAUUUAGAAGGCCUUCGGGUUGUAAAAAUCUUUUUUACGGGAUGAAAAUGACAGUACCGUAAGAAUAAGGUCCGGCUAAAUACGUGCCAGCAGCCGCGGUAAUACAUAUGGACCGAGCGUUGUCCGGAAUCAUUGGGCGUAAAGGGUACGUAGGCGGCCUAGUAAGUUAGAAGUGAAAUAAUAUAGCUCAACUAUAUAAAGCUUUUAAAACUGCUAGGCUUGAGAGAUGGAAGGGAAAGUGGAAUUCCUAGUGUAGCGGUGAAAUGCGCAGAUAUUAGGAAGAAUACCGGUGGCGAAGGCGACUUUCUGGUCAUCAUCUGACGCUGAGGUACGAAAGCGUGGGUAGCAAACAGG